GACGAACGCUGGCGGCGUGCUUAACACAUGCAAGUCGAACGGAAAGGCCCUGCUUUUGUGGGGUGCUCGAGUGGCGAACGGGUGAGUAACACGUGAGUAACCUGCCCUUGACUUUGGGAUAACUUCAGGAAACUGGGGCUAAUACCGGAUAGGAGCUCCUGCUGCACGGUGGGGGUUGGAAAGUUUCGGCGGUUGUGGAUGGUCUCGCGGCUUAUCAGCUUGUUGGUGGGGUAGUGGCUUACCAAGGCUUUGACGGGUAGCCGGCCUGGGAGGGUUACCGGCCACAUUGGGACUGAGAGACGGCCCAGACUCCUACGGGAGGCAGCAGUGGGGAAUAUUGCACAAUGGGCGGAAGCCUGAUGCAGCAACGCCGCGUGCGGGAUGACGGCCUUCGGGUUGUAAACCGCUUUCGCCUGUGACGAAGCGUGAGUGACGGUAAUGGGUAAAGAAGCACCGGCUAACUACGUG
RNAcentral lists this ribosomal RNA (468 nucleotides) under uncultured bacterium. Its description in RNAcentral is "partial 16S ribosomal RNA". It matches the Rfam family "Bacterial small subunit ribosomal RNA", at positions 28 to 507 of the family's 1533-position model. The record is from RNAcentral.